GGCUGAAAGACAGAAAAGAUUGGGGUAUCAGUGCUCUCAAACAAGUUUCUUUGUCGAAGGCCCUCUUGUUGGGGUGGAGGACCCUCCAACUGCAGCUUUGGUGGAGAAGUGAAUGGCAUCCUGCUCGCUUAUUUGACCUGCGAUCCUGCGUGUCAGCCUCUGCUCGCUCUGAUGGAGAGGGUUUAAGAUUGCCAGCAAACCAUGAGAAGCUAGGAGAAAGGAAUGGAACCGCUUCUCCUUCACAUUCCUCAGAAGGAACCAACCCUGCAGACACCUUGAUCUUGGACUUCAAGCCUCCAGAACUAGCAAAGGCUGUGUGAAGAAAUGGCGAGAAG
This 335-nucleotide long non-coding RNA is filed under the name Equus caballus (horse). RNAcentral describes it as "lncRNA (ENSECAG00000058827.1)". The record is from RNAcentral. Lineage: Eukaryota; Metazoa; Chordata; Mammalia; Perissodactyla; Equidae.